Molecule: ribosomal RNA, 528 nt
Filed under: Staphylococcus aureus
Lineage: Bacteria; Bacillati; Bacillota; Bacilli; Caryophanales; Staphylococcaceae
Description: bacterial SSU rRNA
Rfam family: Bacterial small subunit ribosomal RNA
Source: RNAcentral
UUCCCCUUCGGGGGACAAAGUGACAGGUGGUGCAUGGUUGUCGUCAGCUCGUGUCGUGAGAUGUUGGGUUAAGUCCCGCAACGAGCGCAACCCUUAAGCUUAGUUGCCAUCAUUAAGUUGGGCACUCUAAGUUGACUGCCGGUGACAAACCGGAGGAAGGUGGGGAUGACGUCAAAUCAUCAUGCCCCUUAUGAUUUGGGCUACACACGUGCUACAAUGGACAAUACAAAGGGCAGCGAAACCGUGAGGUCAAGCAAAUCCCAUAAAGUUGUUCUCAGUUCGGAUUGUAGUCUGCAACUCGACUACAUGAAGCUGGAAUCGCUAGUAAUCGUAGAUCAGCAUGCUACGGUGAAUACGUUCCCGGGUCUUGUACACACCGCCCGUCACACCACGAGAGUUUGUAACACCCGAAGCCGGUGGAGCAACCUUUUAGGAGCUAGCCGUCGAAGGUGGGACAAAUGAUUGGGGUGAAGUCGUAACAAGGUAGCCGUAUCGGAAGGUGCGGCUGGAUCACCUCCUUUCUAAGGA